RNAcentral lists this transfer RNA (36 nucleotides) under Hippotragus equinus (roan antelope). RNAcentral's name for it is "partial tRNA-Leu". Lineage: Eukaryota; Metazoa; Chordata; Mammalia; Artiodactyla; Bovidae. The record is from RNAcentral.
GGAACCAAAAAAUUGGUGCAACUCCAAAUAAAAGUA